GGGCGAGUGGUGGAAUGGCAGACACGCUAGACUUAGGAUCUAGUGCCGCAAGGCGUGCGAGUUCAACUCUCGCCUCGCCCACCA
Molecule: transfer RNA, 84 nt
Filed under: Armatimonadota bacterium
Lineage: Bacteria; Bacillati; Armatimonadota
Description: Armatimonadetes bacterium (hot springs metagenome) tRNA-Leu
Rfam family: tRNA
About the family: Transfer RNA (tRNA) molecules are approximately 80 nucleotides in length. Their secondary structure includes four short double-helical elements and three loops (D, anti-codon, and T loops).
Source: RNAcentral